This 154-nucleotide ribosomal RNA is filed under the name Tissierella creatinini. RNAcentral describes it as "partial 16S ribosomal RNA". It matches the Rfam family "Bacterial small subunit ribosomal RNA", at positions 1 to 134 of the family's 1533-position model. Lineage: Bacteria; Bacillati; Bacillota; Tissierellia; Tissierellales; Tissierellaceae. The record is from RNAcentral.
UUUUUAAUGAGAGUUUGAUCCUGGCUCAGGACGAACGCUGGCGGCGUGCUUAACACAUGCAAGUCGAGCGAAGUAAUCUUGAAUGAAGUUUCGAUGGAAUGAUAGAUUAUCUUAGCGGCGGACGGGUGAGUAACGCGUGAGAAACCUGCCUUUC